RNAcentral lists this ribosomal RNA (468 nucleotides) under uncultured bacterium. RNAcentral describes it as "partial 16S ribosomal RNA". It matches the Rfam family "Bacterial small subunit ribosomal RNA", at positions 28 to 507 of the family's 1533-position model. The record is from RNAcentral.
GACGAACGCUGGCGGCGUGCUUAACACAUGCAAGUCGAACGGAAAGGCCCUGCUUUUGUGGGGUGCUCGAGUGGCGAACGGGUGAGUAACACGUGAGUAACCUGCCCUUGACUUUGGGAUAACUUCAGGAAACUGGGGCUAAUACCGGAUAGGAGCUCCUGCUGCAUGGUGGGGGUUGGAAAGUUUCGGCGGUUGGGGAUGGACUCGCGGCUUAUCAGCUUGUUGGUGGGGUAGUGGCAUACCAAGGCUUUGACGGGUAGCCGGCCUGAGAGGGUGACCGGCCACCAUGGGACUGAGAUACGGCCCAGACUCCUACGGGAGGCAACGGUGGGGAAUAUUGCACAAUGGGCGGGAGCCUGAUGCAGCAACGCCGCGUGCGGGAUGACGGCCUUCGGGUUGUGAACCGCUUUCGCCUGUGACGAAGCGUGAGUGACGGUAAUGGGUAAAGAAGCACCGGCUAACUACGUG